UACGAAGGGUGCUAGCGUUGUUCGGAAUCACUGGCGUAAAGCGUGCGUAGGCGGCUUGACAAGUCUGACGUGAAAGCCCGGGGCUUAACCCCGGAUGUGCGUUGGAAACUGUCUUGCUGGAGGUCGGAAGGGGAAAGCGGAAUUCCUAGUGUAGAGGUGAAAUUCGUAGAUAUUAGGAGGAACACCAGUGGCGAAGGCGGCUUUCUGGGACGGUACUGACGCUGAGACGCGAAAGCGUGGGGAGCGAACAGG
RNAcentral lists this ribosomal RNA (252 nucleotides) under uncultured bacterium. RNAcentral describes it as "partial 16S ribosomal RNA". It matches the Rfam family "Bacterial small subunit ribosomal RNA", at positions 524 to 776 of the family's 1533-position model. The record is from RNAcentral.